Molecule: small nucleolar RNA, 151 nt
Filed under: Oryza nivara
Lineage: Eukaryota; Viridiplantae; Streptophyta; Magnoliopsida; Poales; Poaceae
Description: Small nucleolar RNA Z247
Rfam family: Small nucleolar RNA Z247
About the family: Z247 is a member of the C/D class of snoRNA which contain the C (UGAUGA) and D (CUGA) box motifs. Most of the members of the box C/D family function in directing site-specific 2'-O-methylation of substrate RNAs.
Source: Rfam by way of RNAcentral
CCUCUAGAUGAGGAAGAUUUGAUUGCUUAUAUUCUAAACGGCCAAGAUGGUGAUUAUGAUGGUGAUUAUGAUUCUGUUGUUUCUGCAAUCGGCAUGAAAUCUGAACUAAUCUCUGUUAUGGAAGUAUACUCUCAGCUGUUAAAUUUUGAGA